CUAAAGGUUACAAUAAAAUGCCUCAGAAAUCGCUAAAUAUCCUCCAUAAACACAUUAUUCAAUAAGAUCUAAGCAAUUACAAGCCAAAAAUGAAAACAUAAGACAACCCUUUUUUCUCUUCACCAAUUAAAUGAUUAAAGGGCACUAGACUGUCAAGGUCUCCUGCUGGACAUGCCAAGCAACAACAUCCUUGUAUGAUAAGUUCCCUCCAAAGAUAUCAAGAGCACUGCCCACAGUAACAUCAACACAUCCCUUCCCUGCUGUCUUUAUCCUCUCUAAAUCAUUCAUGACCGUCACACCACCUGCGUAGGUCACGGGAAUCUGGCAUCCAAACCACAAUGCGUUAAUAAUCCAUGCAUUGAAAUAGCACAUAUACUUAAUUGUAUUGAUAUAUUGACUUGGUUCCUAUGUAAGUGGAAUCGAACUAUAAGUUUCCAGUUAUCAUUUAGUCAGAAAGAUUAGGCUACUGGCUACAUAACCACCAGACCUAUUAAGCAAUAGCAACGAUCACUUGUCCUUAUCAGUGAACCACUCAUUUAGGAUAGCCAAUUCCAAUUGAUGUAAAUUUAGGCUUGUGGAUAUGCUUAAAGCAUUCCUCAGUUUUUCAGUAUUCAUGAAGGUGAGACCCAUAAAUGGUUUUGUGUUUAUAAUUGCUUUCCCUCAUGUUAACCUAAUCUUGCAUCAUUAAUCUUAAUUGCACUAGCAUAUCAAGACCAGUACAAGUGAAAAAGGAUACUGGAUAAGCAUUUGGAGCACUCACUGGGUGAAAUCAUGAUAUUGCCAAAGUUGCAUGGCAUUUUCUUAAGGAAAUACUAGUGAUAAAAAAUGAGUAUAGCAUAAAAAAAUCUGAGAAGCAGAAACAGAAGAAAACACAAUCAGACAUGCAAAAUUAUAUGUUACAGACCGGUGAGUGCCUGCCAAGCAAUUCCACAAGCUCUUCAUCAAUUCCCAGCCUGAAAAUACAAGCAAUGAGGUACAUUUAGUCCAUAUAUAUUAUAUCAGAUCCAGAAAAAAUUUUAAAAAUAAGAAAUCUUGGAUGCUGUCUCCUGUUAAGAUAAGGAAACAGAAUGUCAUGGCACCAACCAUCCAUCUUCAUUCAUUCUCCUAGUUAAAAAGAAAACAAUAACUAAGAGGGAGAUUUAUACAAUUGAAGGUUUUCAAAUGAUAAAAGAGAGAAUUUAUACAGAAACGCUUUAAAUCUCAUGAUGAAAGAUUUCGGAUUUUACAAUACAGUCAUAUUUCUUAUCAUACCUAAAUAACCAGUGGAAAGCCCUCAUAUAGGGCCAAGUAAUGAGAGAAAAUACCACAGUAUCCUUGUUCAAGGAUUAGGGAAACACCUCAUGUAAGAGAGCAAAACCAUGAUAUCAUGUACUUUAACACCAAUUGGUGCAUGAAGUCUAAAAGCAAUAAAAUUGAGUUUCCAAAAUUUUGCCUUACUUUUUCCCUUCAACAUCAACACCAUGAACUAAGAACUCAUCUGCAUAGUUGGCAAGAAAUUCCAAUACUUCCUCAUCAAGAUAUACAUCACUGAACUUCUGCCAUCUAUCAGUUACAAUUGCAUAUCUACCUUCCUUCUUUCUGCAGCUAAGAUCUAGCACAAGCCUUUGCUUUCCAACAACAUGGACAAGAUCUCUUAGCCUUUCCAAGUCCAUUUGACCAUUAUUAAACACAUACUGCAAGGAAAAUGAUACCUUUUAAAGCAAGAUAAGAAACAUUGCAACCUGCAAAGACCUUAUGAGGUCAUGUGAAAAAAAGUGCAAGGUCUUGCAAGUACCUCUGUCAGGGGGACUACAGCAUAUUUCUCAUGAUUUUGUCACUUGUACAUUAAAUAUAUAAACUCUAAAUAUUACCAGUUAUAACAAGAAGUAAACUCUCCUAUAAGUUAAUUUUCUUCAAACGUGAAGCACCAUGGAAGUUUGUGGUCUUGUUGCAUGAAACAGAACAGAUGCCAAAGAGAAUAAUGCAAGGUAAUGGGGAAACAUAAGAAUACACAAUUUAUCAAUUCAAGAGUCAUAUAGGAUGUGAUAACAUACCGAAGUAACAAUGACAUGGCUGGCUCCUUCUUCUAUGUAACUUAAACAAUUGUUUGUGUUAAUACCACCUCCAACUUGUAAGCCGCCUAGAUUUUGCCAAUCCUCGCAGUAAGUUCAGCAGAGGAAAAAUCAGGAUAAGCAUGCAGUGCUUCUACAGCUGCAGCUUUGCUUAAAGGAUCAGCUCCAAGCAUGAUUACAUGACCACCCACAAGCCCAUCUUCUUUGUAUAAAUUUGCAAACUCUGCUGCUGACUUAUCUGAUUCAAAGUUUGUUACAAGAAUUGACCCGUCCUCCUUUGAAUCUCGAAGGGUAGACCCAACAAUUUGCUUCACUUUUCCCUUGUGUAAGUCGAUGCAAGGGCGGAAGCGAACGGCACAGUGUAUAGACAAACGCGAAGAUCUGCAGACAAGUGAAGGCGAGGUUGUGAUACAUUUGUAGUUGUUUCGAACGCUAGGUAUUAUUAUAGAGCAGAAAUUUCUUUCCACUGAAGUGGGGCCGCGGGAUGAAGUAGCAUGGAGGCCGCCGAUUCUCAUCGUGCUUGAUUCCACCGCAAUGAGAGGGAGAUCGGAUUAUUGGAGGUUAAACAGAACAGCUCUGAGUCCCUUAUUUACCA
Molecule: unclassified non-coding RNA, 2646 nt
Filed under: Hevea brasiliensis (rubber tree)
Lineage: Eukaryota; Viridiplantae; Streptophyta; Magnoliopsida; Malpighiales; Euphorbiaceae
Source: RNAcentral